UUAAAAACGCCUUAAUUAAUAAAAGCAAAGUUCUAACAAAAUUUCUUUUCAUCUUCUCUCUAGCAAAUCCCUUUUUACCCUACGCUUGAGAGCUCCCUCUCUGGCUGAAGUUUGUCUCUUCGUUGCUACUCCUCUUUCUCAGCCAUUCCAUGGCUGUUGUAGCCAUCGGAUAGCCUCCUUCCGAGGUUAUCCAUUUCCCCAAACGCCACCUAUAUCACCCUUCUUAAUCACAAUGUCCAAAAUAGUCCCACACAACUCAUCUCUCAGAUCUGAAGCUUCACACUUAGCCAGUCGAAAAUCAUGAUUUGCCACCUGAAAACUCCAUUGAUAGUUGAGAAACCUAGUAACCUAAAUCUCUAUGGUGGGAGUUCGUAGCAUGCUAAGAUGAUUCAGGAGAAUAAAACUCGAAGAUAGUUGGCAGGAAAAAGUGGAAGCACAAAAUGAGGAGGAAGAAGUGAUGGAUAUAAGGAGCCAACAAACAAUGUCUUGAAGACUUGAUGAGUUUACAAGUCAAGAUGCAUGAUUUGAAGACUUUAAGUUGCUUAUCAAAUUUAGUCGGGACUAUUUGACAAAUUUCUUAUUUUUUGUAAUGAAUGUUGGUAACUUAUAUUUGAUAGUACGGUUCUACAUAUGGAAUGGUGAUCUACUUUUUGUAUGUAUGAAAAUAUGAUAUUAUUUAUAUUCUGCCUACAUUCAUUGUUUAUA
Long non-coding RNA from Solanum tuberosum (potato), 705 nucleotides. RefSeq lists it as uncharacterized. NCBI's taxonomy places the organism in Eukaryota, Viridiplantae, Streptophyta, Magnoliopsida, Solanales, Solanaceae. The transcript has 3 exons. The record is from RefSeq and is a predicted model, not a curated record.